GAGUUUGAUCUUGGCUCAGAUUGAACGCUGGCGGCAGGCCUAACACAUGCAAGUCGAGCGGUAGAGAGAAGCUUGCUUCUCUUGAGAGCGGCGGACGGGUGAGUAAUGCCUAGGAAUCUGCCUGGUAGUGGGGGAUAACGCUCGGAAACGGACGCUAAUACCGCAUACGUCCUACGGGAGAAAGCAGGGGACCUUCGGGCCUUGCGCUAUCAGAUGAGCCUAGGUCGGAUUAGCUAGUUGGUGAGGUAAUGGCUCACCAAGGCGACGAUCCGUAACUGGUCUGAGAGGAUGAUCAGUCACACUGGAACUGAGACACGGUCCAGACUCCUACGGGAGGCAGCAGGUGGGGAAUAGUUGGACAA
Molecule: ribosomal RNA, 362 nt
Filed under: uncultured bacterium
Lineage: Bacteria
Description: bacterial SSU rRNA
Rfam family: Bacterial small subunit ribosomal RNA
Source: RNAcentral